This 1871-nucleotide long non-coding RNA is filed under the name Helianthus annuus (common sunflower). RNAcentral describes it as "hypothetical non coding rna". Lineage: Eukaryota; Viridiplantae; Streptophyta; Magnoliopsida; Asterales; Asteraceae. The record is from RNAcentral.
UAUGGGCAUUGUUGGGUUGAUGAUGAUGAUGAUGUUUUUGGUUCAAUCAUGUAUAAAUCUUCACAAUCACCAGAAUUAAUGAUCAUCAAUAACCAUUCUUGAAGAAGGGUAUGCAUAUUCUUCUUCCAGCUCUACUUCUGCACCAAACUAUAUCAGCAAGAAUAUUCAAAUCAACGCCGACUAAACCAUAAAUCGUCGCUCUGCUCCUCCAUCUUCACCGAAGAUUUCUUCAAUUCGACGGUAAAUCACUCUAAUCUCUUUGAUCUGUAAAGUUUUGAUCCUAUCUGUUCUCUCUCUCUCUCUCUCUCUCUCUCUAUCAAGUUGAGCGGUUGAUGGUGGCAGGUUGUGAUGGUGGAUGUGGUGGUGGUGGUUGGUGAUUUAGGUUCUUUGGGAUUAGGGUUUCGGUGAAGGUGGUGAUGAUGGAGACGGUUGGGGGUUGUGAUGGUGGAUGGGGUGGUGGGUUUUAAUGGUGGUGGUUGGGCUUAGGGUUCCGGUGGGGGUUGUGAUGGUGGAUGGGGUGGUUGGGGUUAGGGUUCCGGUGGGGGUGGUGACUAGUGACGGUGGAGACGGUGGCGCCCGUUGCUUCAGGAUCUGUCGUUUCAACGUUUUUCUCAAGUUCUAUUAACAAAUUUGCUGCAUUUUGUUUUUCUCUGGUUUGUGAAACAAUGGAUUUGGGUGCAAAAUCAGUGGAUGAAGUGUUGGAAGAGAUAAUGAGGAUUCAUAAAUCGCCUUUUCUAUGUUGUUUGAUUUGAUUUCUUAGUGUAACCUUUCCCGUAAAUCAAUAGAAUCACAUCUUCUUUCUUCCUAAUUUGAUUAUCACUGUUACUUCAAUUUGAGAUCACUUCCUUGUGGUGGUGGUGUGUUGAUGGAGAUGGUAGGAGACAGAGAAUCGAUGUGGUGGUGGGUUAAUGGUGGUGGUGAUAAGUUUUUAAAAUAUUUUGUUUUAGUUUUUAAAAUAAUAUUAAAUAAAUGGCUAAAAAGACUAAAAUACCCUUGUGUAAUCUGAUUUAACCAAAAAAUCUAACUGGGUUUGGGCCGUUUGGCGUAAAGGACAUAACGUGCAAAGAUUUUAGAACAUUAAGUACAAAACUUGUCAACUUUUGCGCUAAAGGACAGCGCCUGCAAUUUGAUGUAAACGUAAAGGACAAAACUUAUAAUUUACUCUUAUUUUAAGCCAAGUAAAUAUAUGAAAAGUAUCCCUAACCUGCAGAACUCUGUAUAUGACUCUCCGUGCUUCACCGUAGUUCCUUUGUGAGUAACUACUAGCAAGAAUCGCCUAUAACAGAAUAUUUAAGGUUUAUUUUGGUAACUUGAUAACCAUGAGAGCCCGUCACCAGAAAAGUCAGGGGCCCCACCAAUACCCUGCUAACCAAUGGGACCAGGUAAAAGAUAACUAAUUACCUGUCCUGCAAGUGCUAAAGCAUCCGUUAGCAACGACAAAGCCAACCACACUUCCAAGCAGAUCUGGUGACCCGCCAUUGGCACAGACCCUUCCCGUGCUGCCACUGAUGUAGAUAGAGUCAUAGUCACAAGUACAGCAAAGCUUCUAGACAUUAAAAGCCCCCUGCAAAAUACCAUGCUUGUAUGUAUGAAUGAGAAAAUGAAGUAUUAUAAUCACUUGCUUAUAUAUUGUUACGAAAACAUACCUGAUUUUAAAUAUUGAGCAACUUUUUCACCAUCUAUAUUUGGAGUAACAAGUACUACUUCUUCAUUUAACUUCCACAGUAGGAUGAAGGCGGUCAGAUAUCUACUCAUAAGUUCAAAUUCAAUUGUAAGAAAAGUAAAAGAUUAUUAUACAGUGAAGUUACAAGAGGAUGAUGACAGCAUGACGUACUCGGAAAUUACCGUCGCAAUUGCAGCACCACUAACAC